Molecule: ribosomal RNA, 461 nt
Filed under: uncultured bacterium
Lineage: Bacteria
Description: partial 16S ribosomal RNA
Rfam family: Bacterial small subunit ribosomal RNA
Source: RNAcentral
CCUACGGGAGGCAGCAGUGAGGAAUAUUGGUCAAUGGGCGGGAGCCUGAACCAGCCAAGUCGCGUGAGGGAAGACGGUCCUAUGGAUUGUAAACCUCUUUAGGCGGGGAGUAAUGCCGGGCACGCGUGCCCGGAGGGAGAGUACCCGCAGAAUAAGCAUCGGCUAACUCCGUGCCAGCAGCCGCGGUAAUACGGCGGAUGCGAGCGUUAUCCGGAUUUAGUGGGUUUACAGGGAGCGUAGGUGGAUUGUUAAGUCAGUUGUGAAAGUUUGCGGCUCAACCGUAAAAUUGCAGUUGAAACUGGCAGUCUUGAGUACAGUAGAGGUGGGCGGAAGUCGUGGUGUAGCGGUGAAAUGCUUAGAUAUCACGAAGAACUCCGAUUGCGAAGGCAGCUCACUGGACUGCAACUGACACUGAGGCUCGAAAGUGUGGGUAUCAAACAGGAUUAGAUACCCCUGUAGUC